AGCUGAUCAUUGGGUGUAAAGGGUGCGCAGGCGGUUUUGUAAGACAGAGGUGAAAUCCCCGGGCUCAACCUGGGAACUGCCUUUGUGACUGCAAGGCUGGAGUGCGGCAGAGGGGGAUGGAAUUCCGCGUGUAGCAGUGAAAUGCGUAGAUAUGCGGAGGAACACCGAUGGCGAAGGCAGUCCCCUGGGCCUGCACUGACGCUCAUGCACGAAACGCGUGGGGAGCAAACA
RNAcentral lists this ribosomal RNA (231 nucleotides) under uncultured Alicycliphilus sp. Its description in RNAcentral is "partial 16S ribosomal RNA". It matches the Rfam family "Bacterial small subunit ribosomal RNA", at positions 550 to 774 of the family's 1533-position model. Lineage: Bacteria; Pseudomonadati; Pseudomonadota; Betaproteobacteria; Burkholderiales; Comamonadaceae. The record is from RNAcentral.